GAUGAACGCUGGCGGCGUGCCUAAUACAUGCAAGUCGAGCGAACAGACGAGGAGCUUGCUCCUCUGACGUUAGCGGCGGACGGGUGAGCAACACGUGGAUAACCUACCUAUAAGACUGGGAUAACUUCGGGAAACCGGAGCUAAUACCGGAUAAUAUAUUGAACCGCAUGGUUCAAUAGUGAAAGACGGUUUUGCUGUCACUUAUAGAUGGAUCCGCGCCGCAUUAGCUAGUUGGUAAGGUAACGGCUUACCAAGGCAACGAUGCGUAGCCGACCUGAGAGGGUGAUCGGCCACACUGGAACUGAGACACGGUCCAGACUCCUACGGGAGGCAGCAGUAGGGAAUCUUCCGCAAUGGGCGAAAGCCUGACGGAGCAACGCCGCGUGAGUGAUGAAGGUCUUCGGAUCGUAAAACUCUGUUAUUAGGGAAGAACAAAUGUGUAAGUAACCAUGCACGUCUUGACGGUACCUAAUCAGAAAGCCACGGCUAACUACGUG
RNAcentral lists this ribosomal RNA (497 nucleotides) under uncultured bacterium. RNAcentral describes it as "partial 16S ribosomal RNA". It matches the Rfam family "Bacterial small subunit ribosomal RNA", at positions 28 to 507 of the family's 1533-position model. The record is from RNAcentral.